GUUCAUCAACAUAACGCAGUUAGGGUCACACUCAUCACGGGGCCCCCAUUGCCUCUGGCGCACCCCACGACUGACAUCUGCGGGGCCUUCCCGCUAGGCUUCGAGUUUCAGCUUCCGCACCAGGCCUGCCUUUCUGCAGGGGCCAGGGUGGGGGUCCUGCGCUGACGGACCCUCUGAACCCCCACUGCUGCAGAGGGGCUGUUCCUUCCGUUACAUCCCCUGUGCCCGAAUCCACCCUGUGUCUUCUCUUUUCUCAGCAGGACAUUUUAAAAGCCCAGACCCCUUCCUUGCAGAGCAAAUGUCCAGGCUUCGGAGGUCACUGUCACAUCCCAAGAACCCCCUUCACCAGGGGCCACUCUUGAGACUGGGCUGAAGCCCCCUGGAGAGUCCCCCUUGGCUUUGUCCUGCCCCCUGAGAUGAGGGUAUGGACAGCCGGGUACAAGAUGGGGCAGGCAACCUUGCAAUGGUGGUAACCCUGUGCAUGAACCCUGGGCCUGGCACGUGGACCUCCUGUGACCGUCCCCACAGGCCCGUGAGGCUGAGCUUGGCACUGCCCAAGACCACACAGUCCAUGCGCGGUGGAGCUGGGGUCCAGGCUGCCCACCAGGGCAGUGACUGCAAUGGUGGCAGCAGGGGACGGUCACUGUCAUGAGCUCAAGCCAGGCGCUGUGCUGACCUUGAGGGAGGGCUCCAUGCUUCCCCUUCCCACAGCUGCAGUGAAGCCUAGGAGAGCGGGGUCGGCUGCGGGCUUGAGUCCUGGGGUGCCCCUGGGCUGAUGGGCCCUGCCUGACCUGCUCCUCCAGUGCCCCAGCCCUGCCCCGCCCACGUCCCCUCCUCUCACUGCCCCCUGGCCCACUCCGCUGCAGUCUCAGUGCCUUCCCAGGCUGGGCAUCAUCUGAUGGGAGGAAAGUGAGGGCCCCAGACUCUGUGUCAUCCUGGAAGGACCCCUCCCCUCCUAUGGCUUCGAGCCCAUGAGAUGGCCUUGGACAAAGCGGCAAUGGGCCCUUCCUGAGACACAGUGCGGCCAUCUACUGGGAAACUGCCCAGUGUGACUCUGAUGACUGUGAUGUGAAUCCUACAGCAAAGUUGAGCAGUGCGCAACCUGGUCUACUACACCUGGCAGCCCCGGCUCCUCCUCCUCUGCCUCUUCCUGCUCCUUCAUUCUCCCCCAGAGCUCUAAUUGUCACUGAGAUUUUAUGUUUCGUUUAACAAAUGACUGUCUCCCCGCUUGAACAGAACCUCCAUGGGGGGAGGGAAGAGUGUCUGUUGUAUAAAUAGUUGUAUUUCAGUGCAUAAAACAGUGCCUGCCUCAAA
This 1314-nucleotide long non-coding RNA is filed under the name Pan troglodytes (chimpanzee). Its description in RNAcentral is "lincRNA". The record is from RNAcentral. Lineage: Eukaryota; Metazoa; Chordata; Mammalia; Primates; Hominidae.